UUCCGGUUGAUCCUGCCGGACCUGACUGCUAUCGGAUUGAUACUAAGCCAUGCGAGUCAUUGUAGCAAUACAAGGCAGACGGCUCAGUAACGCGUAGUCAACCUACCCUAUGGACGGGAAUAACCUCGGGAAACUGAGUAUAAUGCCCGAUAGAACACUAUACCUGGAAUGGUUUGUGUUCCAAAUGAUUUAUUGCCAUAGGAUGGGACUGCGGCCUAUCAGUUUGUUGGUGAGGUAAUGGCCCACCAAGACUAUUACAGGUACGGGCUCUGAGAGGAGUGGCCCGGAGAUGGGUACUGAGACACGGACCCAGGCCCUAUGGGGCGCAGCAGGCGAGAAAACUUUGCAAUGUGCGAAAGCACGACAAGGUUAAUCCGAGUGGUUUCUGCUAAAGGAACCUUUUGACAGUCCUAGAAACACUGUUGAAUAAGGGGUGGGCAAGUUCUGGUGUCAGCCGCCGCGGUAAAACCAGCACCUCAAGUGGUCAGGAUGAUUAUUGGGCCUAAAGCAUCCGUAGCCGGCUCUGUAAGUUUUCGGUUAAAUCUGUACGCUCAACGUACAGGCUGCUGGGAAUACUGCAGAGCUAGGGAGUGGGAGAGGUAGACGGUACUCGGUAGGAAGUGGUAAAAUGCUUUGAUCUAUCGAUGACCACCUGUGGCGAAGGCGGUCUACCAGAACACGUCCGACGGUGAGGGAUGAAAGCUGGGGGAGCAAACCGGAUUAGAUACCCGGGUAGUCCCAGCUGUAAACUAUGCAAACUCAAUGAUGCAUUGACUUAUGGUCAACGCAGUGUUGCAGGGAAGCCGUUAAGUUUGCCGCCUGGGAAGUACGUACGCAAGUAUGAAACUUAAAGGAAUUGGCGGGGGAGCACCACAAGGGGUGAAGCCUGCGGUUCAAUUGGAUUCAACGCCGGG
RNAcentral lists this ribosomal RNA (914 nucleotides) under uncultured archaeon. RNAcentral describes it as "bacterial SSU rRNA". It matches the Rfam family "Archaeal small subunit ribosomal RNA", at positions 1 to 922 of the family's 1478-position model. The record is from RNAcentral.